ACAUGGCAUGUACAUCAGGUGCUACUAAAAGUGCUUAGAAACUGCUUUUGCUAAAAAGCAGUUAAUUGGGAUUAGUACAAAAUGUUUAGCAUCUUUGUCUCCAUUCUUAUCUGACUUUGAUCUGAGCAGUCCCCUUAGAACCAGACAGAACUGGCCUGAUCCCUAACAUUUCAAUGACAAAUGACUUCCUUGUGACUGGGCUCUGUCUGCCUAAUCACAAGAUGAGGACCAUCUAGAACCACAUCUCUGACCUUCUUGGACCCCGAGACUACAUCUGUUGAAUACUUAUUCUAACUUUUUGCCUCCUGUCCAAUUCUUUUUUCCACUUAAAUCUCAAGAAGUUUGUACCCCGACAAUGUUUACUUUGCCUGUUCCCAUGGUGUGCCUCUGCCACUUAAUAAAUCUCCUUUCUCUGUCCUUUACUACUCAUCUCAGUUUCUGGUGUACUGAGGUUGAACUUGACAUAAUAGAAUCUGACAUAUUAGCUCUCUGAUCUAGAACUCCCUAAACUACCUGGUGAAGUUAGACAUAACAAAAACAAAACUCUAAGAGUCUCCUGUUAUUAUUGACUAAAUUUCUGAAGCAUUUGGGAGAAGAACUGCAAGGGCAUAUUUUGGUCCAACCCAUUCGGGUUAGGUGCUCCCACCAUUCAUAAGCACCAGGCAAUUAUCUAUGGCUUUCCUGUGUAAUUCACAGUGUUCAGAAGAAUCACUGCAUUCUUUACUUACAAAGAACUCAUACCUCUGAGGCCUCCCAACACCCUCCCUAGCUCCAUAAGCAGUCUGGGCAAAUCUCCCACCUGUUGGUCUGACUCAUGCUUGUCAUGAGUGACUAUGAUGCCAAAAUAUGGAAUGUCGUGCAUUCCAGAGGAAGUGUUGUCAAGGACUGUUAUCAGUGCCAACUUCUUGUUUACCAGUGAGGGAGCAAACGAAAAUCUCCAAGGCUGGGCCCACUUCAAGAAAGUGCCAAAUUUCAUUGAAGUGACAUGACUUUAUAUUUCCUUUCUGUCUGUCCUUACCUUUGGCUCUGUCUCCUGCCUUCUACUCCCACUUCCUUAGUGAACAAUCAGCUCUCCUUUUGGCUCCUAUCUGCCUUGUCCUUCAGUGGGUGGCAUUGUUGAAAAUUCUAUUCUCUGGUUGUCCUCUUUGCGUCUCUCUUUUCUGAGUCUUAAAAAUGACAGCUUCCGAUGGGGACAUUCCUAAGAUUACUGACAUAUGGGCCAUUAUCCACCCUCAAACUGUGUGAAGGUAGUUCCAUUCUUUUCAUUGCUUGGAGGAAAGGAAUUACAAUAUUCUUAUUGUGGGAAUAAUUUAAUGCUAAAAAUACGGAAAGUAAUUUACUGAUAAAUUCUUAGAGUUACUACUAAAAUAAAUGCUCAACAAAACCACCAAAGUUACCUUAGACUUUUCAUUUAAGUUACCAAUGCCCCUUUGUUAUUUGAGACAAAUUUAAUAAUAUGCAAGAAGAAAUGACUUUUAAUAAUGAAUAGACCCCAGUUGGAGCAGUGAAGGGUUCUGCUUAAGUAAAUGAAAAAAAAAUGUCAUGUCAGGUGUAAUCUUUUGAAUAAAAAGGAUUUUUGGAAAUGGUAACUGUAAAUAAUAAACAAGAAAUUCAUUUUUUCCACAGAAAAGCUAACAGUGCACAUUCCAAACACAAGGAGUUUCUUCUUAGAUGAAGAGGCUUUGUUUUUUCCUGCCAGUGUGAUCUUUUUUCUUAUGUGGCACUGUUUGACUAAGAUAGCUUCCCAUUUAUUUAUAGCUGAGUUCAGGAGAUACAUGUUUCCAUAUAGUGCAGGAUGCUCACUGCUCAGGAGACAUGCGGAGAAAUGUCAAGGAAGGCUGCUUAUUCUCCACAACUCCAACUGUGGGUCUCAAUAGUCUGUGAGGAUGCACUCCUACCACUUUCUUGCAGCUGUGCUUCAAAGAACUCAGGCUCCUGGGGACUGAGCCAUACCAAGGUCAAUGAACAGCUCUUUUUUCUCCUGUCUGUGAUACUCAGUUUUUGUGAAAAGAUGAGCAUCACUUCAAAUAUACUGAGAAUGCAGCUUUCCAGUUGUUUAGUUCUAUGUCCUAAUACUGUUCUUGUCCUUAAAAAGGUUGGAGGAUGUGGUUUUUGUUCCAGAACUCUAAAUAAAGUAUUCAUUUAACUCCAUGAUGGCACUUCCAGUUUCUUACUAUGCUCUAGGCCAGAAUAGAAAGCAGACAGGACCUAAACCCUGUACUCAUCAUAGAAAUUCCUCUCCCUAAGAGGAGAUUACUCUAAAUUCUCACACUCAAGUUUGAAAAAAUCCACAGAAAUUUUAUAGGAUGGGGAGGGGGGAUUUAAAUCAAGUUGCUAUUCAAAAUGUCUUUGACUUCUGACAAGAGAAUCAUUCUACUUUGUGGAACAUAAAGUGAUUAUUAUUGGGGCUGGAUACAAUGAUGUUCAGUUCAACUCAACAAUCCUUCCUAGAGUAUCUACGCAUAGUGAUGGCUGGAAAAAAAAGAUGCAAAGAUAGCUAUUGCCAUCUUCAGGAGAGAAGCUCUGUAGUUUCAGAUAGGACAAGCAUAUGAAGGGUAUUCUAGCAGUGAAAAGAAAGUCAACUACUUUUUUUUUUUUCCUCACAAGCACCCUCUUAACAAAGAAAGCAUGCAGUGGUAGAAAGGAAAUGGCUUUGACAAUCAUCUUGGCCAUGUCAUCGUCCUCAUGGUCUGUUACACAGCUGUUAGUUUGGAGGAACUGGCCUUGCUCCCCAGAGUGGAGCUGUCACAAAAUAGAGUGGAAAUGCUCUGGCUUUCAGCCCAAAAGAAUGUUCAUGCCUAGUUGUAUUACCCAGGCAUUUCCGACAGUUCUCAACAUUUCUGGGAAUUUUCUCAUGCAAAGAACUGGAAGGCAAUUCUAUUCUUAGGCUUCUUACUCAUGUUUUCUUUGUGUUACAGCAGUUGUAUUUAAAAAAAAAAUCUGGAACCAGGCACCGGUGACUCACGCCUGUAAU
This is a long non-coding RNA of Perognathus longimembris pacificus (Pacific pocket mouse), 2974 nucleotides long. RefSeq lists it as uncharacterized. NCBI's taxonomy places the organism in Eukaryota, Metazoa, Chordata, Mammalia, Rodentia, Heteromyidae. The record is from RefSeq and is a predicted model, not a curated record. The transcript is spliced from 2 exons.